AGCAUAUCAAUAAGCGGAGGAAAAAGAAAGCAACAGCGAUAGCCUCAGUAACGGCGAGUGAAGCGGCUACAGCUCAAAUUUGAAAUCUGGCCUCCUUUGGGGGUCCGAGUUGUAAUUUGCAGAGGAUGCUUUGGCAUUGGCGGCGGUCUAAGUUCCUUGGAACAGGACAUCGCAGAGGGUGAGAAUCCCGUACGUGGGCGCCUGCCUUUGCCGUGUAAAGCUCCUUCGACGAGUCGAGUUGUUUGGGAAUGCAGCUCUAAAUGGGAGGUAAAUUUCUCCUAAAGCUAAAUACCGGCCAGAGACCGAUAGCGCACAAGUAGAGUGAUCGAAAGAUGAAAAGUACUUUGGAAAGAGAGUCAAAUAGCACGUGAAAUUGUUGAAAGGGAAGCGCUUGCAGCCAGACUUGCCCGCAGUUGCUCACCUAGGCUUUCGCCUGGGGCACUCUUCUGCGGGCAGGCCAGCAUCAGUUUGGGCGGUCGGAUAAAGGCCUCUGUCAUGUACCACCCUUCGGGGUGGCCUUAUAGGGGAGGCGUAAUGCGACCAGCCCGGACUGAGGUCCGCGCAUCUGCUAGGAUGCUGGCGUAAUGGCUGUAAGCGGCCCGUCUUGAAACACGGACCAAGGAGUCUAACAUCUAUGCGAGUGUUUGGGUGUCAAGCCCGGGCGCGCAAUGAAAGUGAACGGAGGUGGGAACCUUUCGGGGUGCACCAUCGACCGAUCCUGAAGUCUUCGGAUGGAUUUGAGUAAGAGCAUAGCUGUUGGGACCCGAAAGAUGGUGAACUAUGCUUGAAUAGGGUGAAGCCAGAGGAAACUCUGGUGGAGGCUCGCAGCGGUUCUGACGUGCAAAUCGAUCGUCAAAUUUGGGGCAUAGGGGCGAAAGACUAAUCGAACCAUCUAGUAGCUGGUUCCUGCCGAA
RNAcentral lists this ribosomal RNA (914 nucleotides) under Pseudopithomyces chartarum. RNAcentral's name for it is "partial large subunit ribosomal RNA". It matches the Rfam family "Eukaryotic large subunit ribosomal RNA", at positions 37 to 965 of the family's 3401-position model. The record is from RNAcentral. Lineage: Eukaryota; Fungi; Ascomycota; Dothideomycetes; Pleosporales; Didymosphaeriaceae.